Molecule: transfer RNA, 80 nt
Filed under: Candidatus Nanohaloarchaea archaeon
Lineage: Archaea; Methanobacteriati; Methanobacteriota; Candidatus Nanohaloarchaea
Description: tRNA-Gly
Rfam family: tRNA
About the family: Transfer RNA (tRNA) molecules are approximately 80 nucleotides in length. Their secondary structure includes four short double-helical elements and three loops (D, anti-codon, and T loops). Further hydrogen bonds mediate the characteristic L-shaped molecular structure. tRNAs have two regions of fundamental functional importance: the anti-codon, which is responsible for specific mRNA codon recognition, and the 3' end, to which the tRNAs corresponding amino acid is attached (by aminoacyl-tRNA synthetases). tRNAs cope with the degeneracy of the genetic code in two manners: having more than one tRNA (with a specific anti-codon) for a particular amino acid; and 'wobble' base-pairing, i.e. permitting non-standard base-pairing at the 3rd anti-codon position.
Source: RNAcentral
GCGGCGUUGGUCCAGUGGCUAAGACACGACCUUGCCAGGGCAGAGUGGUCGUAACCGGGGUUCAAAUCCCCGACGCCGCA